This 468-nucleotide ribosomal RNA is filed under the name uncultured bacterium. Its description in RNAcentral is "partial 16S ribosomal RNA". It matches the Rfam family "Bacterial small subunit ribosomal RNA", at positions 28 to 523 of the family's 1533-position model. The record is from RNAcentral.
GAUGAACGCUGGCGGCGUGCCUAACACAUGCAAGUCGAGCGAUUUACUUCGGUAAAGAGCGGCGGACGGGUGAGUAACGCGUGGGUAACCUGCCUUGUACACACGGAUAACAUACCGAAAGGUAUGCUAAUACGAGAUAAUAUGCUUUUAUCGCAUGGUAGAAGUAUCAAAGCUCCGGCGGUACAGGAUGGACCCGCGUCUGAUUAGCUAGUUGGUAAGGUAACGGCUUACCAAGGCGACGAUCAGUAGCCGACCUGAGAGGGUGAUCGGCCACAUUGGAACUGAGACACGGUCCAAACUCCUACGGGAGGCAGCAGUGGGGAAUAUUGCACAAUGGGCGAAAGCCUGAUGCAGCAACGCCGCGUGAGCGAUGAAGGCCUUCGGGUCGUAAAGCUCUGUCCUCAAGGAAGAUAAUGACGGUACUUGAGGAGGAAGCCCCGGCUAACUACGUGCCAGCAGCCGCCGUAA